Molecule: ribosomal RNA, 253 nt
Filed under: uncultured bacterium
Lineage: Bacteria
Description: partial 16S ribosomal RNA
Rfam family: Bacterial small subunit ribosomal RNA
Source: RNAcentral
UACGUAGGGUGCGAGCGUUGUCCGGAAUUAUUGGGCGUAAAGAGCUUGUAGGCGGUUUGUCGCGUCUGCUGUGAAAAUCCGGGGCUCAACCCCGGACUUGCAGUGGGUACGGGCAGACUGGAGUGUGGUAGGGGGGACUGGAAUUCCUGGUGUAGCGGUGGAAUGCGCAGAUAUCAGGAGGAACACCGAUGGCGAAGGCAGGUCUCUGGGCCACUACUGACGCUGAGAAGCGAAAGCAUGGGGAGCGAACAGG